GGCUGGACUAUUUAUUACCCUUGUCUUUUGCGCACUUGUUGUUUCCUGGGCGGGUUCGCCCGCCACCAGGACCACCAUAUAAACCUUUUUUAUGCAGUUGCAAUCAGCGUCAGUAUAACAAAUGUAAAUCAUUUACAACUUUCAACAACGGAUCUCUUGGUUCUGGCAUCGAUGAAGAACGCAGCGAAAUGCGAUACGUAGUGUGAAUUGCAGAAUUCAGUGAAUCAUCGAAUCUUUGAACGCACAUUGCGCCCUUUGGUAUUCCAAAGGGCAUGCCUGUUCGAGCGUCAUUUGUACCCUCAAGCUUUGCUUGGUGUUGGGCGUUUUUUUGUCUUUGGUUUGCCCAAAGACUCGCCUUAAAACGAUUGGCAGCCGGCCUACUGGUUUCGCAGCGCAGCACAUUUUUGCGCUUGCAAUCAGCAAAAGAGGACGGCAAUCCAUCAAGACUCCUUCUCACGUUUGACCUCGGAUCAGGUAGGGAUACCCGCUGAACUUAAGCAUAUCAAUA
Molecule: ribosomal RNA, 508 nt
Filed under: Curvularia australiensis
Lineage: Eukaryota; Fungi; Ascomycota; Dothideomycetes; Pleosporales; Pleosporaceae
Description: eukaryotic LSU rRNA
Rfam family: 5.8S ribosomal RNA (bases 137-290)
Source: RNAcentral